CCUACGGGAGGCAGCAGUGGGGAAUAUUGCACAAUGGGGGAAACCCUGAUGCAGCGACGCCGCGUGAGUGAAGAAGUAUCUCGGUAUGUAAAGCUCUAUCAGCAGGGAAGAAAAUGACGGUACCUGACUAAGAAGCCCCGGCUAACUACGUGCCAGCAGCCGCGGUAAUACGUAGGGGGCAAGCGUUAUCCGGAUUUACUGGGUGUAAAGGGAGCGUAGACGGCAGCACAAGUCUGGAGUGAAAUGCCGGGGCUUAACCCCGGAACUGCUUUGGAAACUGUGCAGCUAGAGUGCAGGAGAGGUAAGUGGAAUUCCUAGUGUAGCGGUGAAAUGCGUAGAUAUUAGGAGGAACACCAGUGGCGAAGGCGGCUUACUGGACUGUAACUGACGUUGAGGCUCGAAAGCGUGGGGAGCAAACAGGAUUAGAUACCCUAGUAGUC
Molecule: ribosomal RNA, 440 nt
Filed under: uncultured bacterium
Lineage: Bacteria
Description: partial 16S ribosomal RNA
Rfam family: Bacterial small subunit ribosomal RNA
Source: RNAcentral